GACAGAGGUGCCGAGCGUUAGGCGGAAUCACUGGGCUUAAAGCGUGUGUAGGCGGGCCGUUAAGUAUCUUGUGAAAUCCCCCGGCUCAACCGGGGAAUGGCUGGAUAUACUGGCGGUCUUGAGCGAUCUAGGGGCAGAUGGAACAAGUGGUGGAGCGGUGAAAUGCGUAGAUAUCACUUGGAACGCCAAAGGUGAAAACAGUCUGCUGGGGAUCUGCUGACGCUGAGACACGAAAGCCAGGGGAGCCAACGGG
This 253-nucleotide ribosomal RNA is filed under the name uncultured bacterium. RNAcentral describes it as "partial 16S ribosomal RNA". It matches the Rfam family "Bacterial small subunit ribosomal RNA", at positions 524 to 776 of the family's 1533-position model. The record is from RNAcentral.